UGGGGAAUUUUGGACAAUGGGCGAAAGCCUGAUCCAGCAAUGCCGCGUGUGUGAAGAAGGCCUUCGGGUUGUAAAGCACUUUUGUCCGGAAAGAAAUCCUUGGCUCUAAUACAGUCGGGGGAUGACGGUACCGGAAGAAUAAGCACCGGCUAACUACGUGCCAGCAGCCGCGGUAAUACGUAGGGUGCAAGCGUUAAUCGGAAUUACUGGGCGUAAAGCGUGCGCAGGCGGUUUGCUAAGACCGAUGUGAAAUCCCCGGGCUCAACCUGGGAACUGCAUUGGUGACUGGCAGGCUAGAGUAUGGCAGAGGGGGGUAGAAUUCCACGUGUAGCAGUGAAAUGCGUAGAGAUGUGGAGGAAUACCGAUGGCGAAGGCAGCCCCCUGGGCCAAUACUGACGCUCAUGCACGAAAGCGUGGGGAGCAAAGCAGGAUUAGAUACCCUGGUAGUCCACGCCCUAAACGAUGUCAACUAGUUGUUGGGGAUUCAUUUCCUUAGUAACGUAGCUAACGCGUGAAGUUGACCGCCUGGGGAGUACGGUCGCAAGAUUAAAA
This 552-nucleotide ribosomal RNA is filed under the name uncultured bacterium. RNAcentral's name for it is "partial 16S ribosomal RNA". It matches the Rfam family "Bacterial small subunit ribosomal RNA", at positions 355 to 899 of the family's 1533-position model. The record is from RNAcentral.